Long non-coding RNA from Vespa mandarinia (Asian giant hornet), 834 nucleotides. RefSeq lists it as uncharacterized. The record is from RefSeq and is a predicted model, not a curated record. NCBI's taxonomy places the organism in Eukaryota, Metazoa, Arthropoda, Insecta, Hymenoptera, Vespidae.
CGUUUCUUUCAUUUCAUUUUAUGUGCGACGUAUAAUUGGUAAAUGAAUUUCGAUUGAACGAAUUGUGACGAGUAACAAGUAACAACGAAUCUAACCGAACAUUAUCGAACAUUUCCGAACAGAUCGAAACGAAAAUAACCAAUUUCACUGAGAAAGUUCGUCGCUAUUGCCGUUCUAGCGAUUCUAAUGAUUUUGGCCUCUACAGUGAACUCCGUGCCAACGUCAAAGCCAGUAGCAGCUGGAGCCAUAACGCCAUAUCCCAUACCUCAAAGACCACCAUAUGCACCAAAUCCAUGGGAUUAUCCAAGACCAUUCCCAACGCAGUCGUCUGAUCGCCGUUCAUAGAAAAAAAAAAAAGAAAAAAAAGAAGAAGAAAAGAUAAGAAAAAGAAAUCUAAAACAAAAUUAAAAAAUAAAUAAAUAAAUAAUGACAUAGACAAAUUAGCAGACAGAUAAUAUUUGAUUAAGCGAAAGAUAAAAUUUACAAGAGGACGAGAAACCUAUGAUUAGAACUGAAUGAAAAUAUUAGCUUUUUGUUGAACGUAAACGUAACAGGAUGAAUCAACGAGUUCUCAAGGUUUCCUCAAGAUUGCAAAUUAGCGUUUAAAUUAUCGGCUUCUUAUCUUGUAUAAUGUAAAUUAAUUUUUUUUCUUUUCUCCUUUAUCAUCAUAACUUAUAGAUCAUAUAUUUUAGUGACUCAAUCGAUCGUAAUUUCCAAAGAAUAGUUAAAUUAGAAAAUGGGAUAUCGCAAUGAUUCCUCAAUGCGAAUUCGUUGAGACCUUGAAAUAAAAUGUCAAUUUUACUUUAAAGUUGAAUAUCGAAAUGCUAUCAAUUU